RNAcentral lists this long non-coding RNA (2215 nucleotides) under Anas platyrhynchos platyrhynchos (common mallard). RNAcentral describes it as "lncRNA (ENSAPLG00000026854.1)". Lineage: Eukaryota; Metazoa; Chordata; Aves; Anseriformes; Anatidae. The record is from RNAcentral.
UCCACGUUAAGAUUUGCCUCUUCGGUCCCACAAGUAAGAAAUACCAAAAGAAAUUGUAUUUUAUGUAAAACUUAAGAAGUCCAGCUCAUUCAUUAGAAAACCAAGCAAGUUAAACAUUAGGCCCUUACUGAAAUGUACGCCUGGUCUCUCUUAAGAUAAAAGCUAGUUGAUUAUAAGAGACCACAUAUCCACUUCCCUUCCCUUCCCUUCCCUUCCCCUGGCACAUCCCAGNNNNNNNNNNUGUUAUAAAUGGCUCAGGAUUCAAAUUAGGAUUAAAUAAAAAAAUAGGAUUUAUUAAAAGAAUAUAAAGGAAUAGAGGUAAGCAAACAGCGCUGGGUGCACCGGGAGUCUCCGCUCCACCAGGACGCACACCAGUUACAUCAAGCAGCUGAUUUUUAUGCACCUAGACUAAUACAUAUUCAUUACUACUUCUAAAAAAGUAGAUUAUUAUAAUUAGCUUCCGGGGUCCAGUUCCUCCUACUGGAGCAUGCGCAUCAGUCUCCUCUGGGGGUCUCUAGGGGUCUUUCAUGCUGAAGGCUCGUAGUCUUCCUCUCACCCUUUGCACUUACUUGGCACUAUUCCAAGUUUAUGGAACACUCUCUGUAAACUCUCCCAGGUCUUGUCUCCCAACCGUCCUUCAGCUUCUUUUCUCUUCCUCUCACCCUUUGCACUUACUUGGCACUAUUCCAAGUUUAUGGAACACUCUCUGUAAACUCUCCCAGGUCUUGUCUCCCAACCGUCCUUCAGCUUCUUUUCUCUUCCUCUUAAUCUCUUGGCCCCCUGGCCAGAUACCAAAGAUCCACAUAGUAUCCCAUAACAGUCACUAGUUGUUAUCAGUUGUUCUGAAACUCCCAGACAUCAAACACAAACAGCUUUCUUAUUUGACGCUUCACGAGUAAUUAAAACAUUCUUCCCCAGCCAUUCACAGACACAUCUAUAGCAGUGUUAAGUUAAUCUCGAAGAAGACAGGAAAAAAGGCUGUAACUGUUAGAACUAGAAGUCAGGAAUAACAAAAGCAAACAGGUUCAUAAAUUUAAGGAGUGUUUUCUGAAGACGUGAUAAAUUGACUGGAAUGAGGGGGAGACUGGGACACACUGCAUCUGUGGUUCAAGAACUAAAUUGCCAGUGCAGGGCCCAGGCAGACAGGAUUCAAACAGAAUUGUUCUUUAUGGACACGAAUUUAUGGACACGAAUUUAUGGACACGAAUUGGAAUUGUUAAAACAUUCCUCACACCAGCCAUGUGCCAAGAAACCCCAGCCAGCUGAGGGCAUGCUAGUCAAGUUCUAGCAGCAGCUGUAAAUCAUUCUUUACAUUAACAUGGGACACCUGCUAUAAAAAUUUCCCUUUCUUUUUUGCAAAGACUGUAAUGGUCUUCAGAAAGUUUGCUUUACAUUGCCUGUGGCUCAAAGCAGACGGAAUGCAAGACUGAAAGUGCUUGGUAGUUCCUAAAGAAAUCUAGAACGCCUACAUGCUUUUUAAUUACAUAGCUAUACGUGCACUUGAUUAAAUUAAAAAACAAUUACCGCAAUUUAUGAUAUGAAUCAACUCUUUGGCAAACUGUGAUUGCAGCUGAUUUAUUUAUUUAAUUUUUUUUUGUGUGGAUUCUCUGUAAUUGAUACUGGCUGAUGUUUCUCCUUACAGCAGAAUGCCAAAAGGCAGUUAGUUACUCUGUGGGCGCUCUGGCUGUUCAUUUCUGGAGUGACAUGAGCCUUUUUCUCUUCCUGAGGGAGGCUGAAUGGAGGUGGCAAUUUGUUUAUUGGCCUUAGUAAAGUUGAAUUACAAAAUAAGAGAUGCCAAGAGCCCACGCUGAAAACCAUGGUGUGAAUGAGAGUCUCGUGGUGUACAGAUUGGUACGUAAAGAGGGACCCCUGCGUGGAGUGCAAGUUCAUGAUGCACCACUAAGUUCCUUGAUACUCUUUCAUAAAUAUGGAUGGGUAUUUGUUAGGAAAGGCAAGUAUUUUGCUGGUGUAGAUACAUAAUCCUGUCUUUGAAGAAAGUGACAGAUGUACAUAUUUGCUGAAAAUAUCCCAGAAAUUCACACUUUUGCAAAACAGUUUCUCACCUCCUUUUGUUUAACAGCAGUAUCCACAACAGGAUCCUUUCUAUAGGGGAUACAAAUGCUCAAAGUAGUGAAACAACUUCAUAAAUAACACCCAUGGACUUGCAUGACUUUGCAGAAGCUCAAUAAAAUUCUCAGCCCAAGCUAUCCUGACA